Molecule: long non-coding RNA, 2748 nt
Organism: Peromyscus eremicus (cactus mouse)
Lineage: Eukaryota; Metazoa; Chordata; Mammalia; Rodentia; Cricetidae
Exons: 3
Source: RefSeq, a predicted model, not a curated record
GGGUAGAUGAUUGAUAUAGAUGAUAGAGAAACAGAUGACAAAUGGAUGAUGUAUAGAUAGAUGAUAUAUGGGUAGAUAAUAAAUAGGAAGGUAGAUGAUAGGUAGUUGGAUAAUAGAUUGGUAGAUGAUAGAUAGGAAGAUAGAUGAUAGAUGGAUGAUAAAUGGGUAGGUGAUGGAUGGAUAAAUGAUAACUACAUAGACAGAUGGUAAACAAAUAAUGAUACAUUGGUAGAUAGAUUAUUUUAAAAGUUAAAAGCACAUUAAUAAUAGAAUGGACCCUUGGGUCGUGUUGAAACACAGCCAUGUACUUCUCCUUAAACAUUUGCCUCACAUGUCGUGAAAAAGUUGUUGUGGAGAAGGGAUGAUACCUAGAUACCUACCUCAUCCACCUGACAGUGAAUCCCACAAGAAGGUGUUAGCACUGUGCUGCAGGUUCAUCCAGCCUAACACACAACGAAGGAGGCGAUACUCAAACCAUAUGCCAUCCAAACAUUGAAGGAGUCAAGCAAAUGCUCCUUUGUGUGUCCAUUAAGUACUAACUGUAGCUACAGAAGCCCAGGGCAGGCUGUACUGAAACUCAAAAGCAAAGGCACCUUUGAGUGAACCAACUGGAAAAACUAAGGGCCCUGAAAUGCUUCCUCUGAACUUUUGAUAUAUAACAAACAAAUCAUUCAAGUUCCAGCAAUUGCUUAUUUGAUAGAUUGUGUGUGUUCAGUGGCAAAAGGAAAGUACAAGUGAAUUCUAAACAAGAAACUGCAGUGGAGUUAUUGGUUCAUUAUAAGUGUUCCAGGGGGAAUGUCUGGUCCCUGAGCCUGGAAGUUGUACAUAAGCCACCAUCUUCUAUAGAAGCAGAAAACCAGUGCUGCAAACUCCACCAUGAAUACAGUGGAAUAAGGUAUGCAUCAUUUAUCCAGUUAAAGAUAGGAUAAGUCUUAUGGUGCCCUAGAUGACACUAGCUCCUAACUGUGUCUUUUGACUGAUUAUCAUUGUUAAAGGGGGGUUUGGAAGAGUUGAAACCCGAGGUUGACAUGGAUGGAGUUCUAACCAUUUGAUCACUGGCAGGGGUUUCUUUUCCUUCAGUUUCUAAGAGAGAGGACCUCAAGGGUCCUAUUCAAUGCAGAUAAAGUGUCUUUGUGGAAGUAUGGACAAAUCACAAGCAGUUAGCAAUGCCCAGAUUAAUAACAGGGCUUUGAUAAGUUUUCAUUGUGAGCUUGAUAUAAUCUAGAUUGGCCUGGGGGCAGAGGUUGUCUAGAAUAACUUCAUUGACAUGGGAAGACUCAGUCUAAAAGUGGGCAGCACCGUUGCCAGGUUUGGGUUCUGGACUAUGUGAGGAUGGAGAGAUAGCUGAACACUAGACAUUUGUGCAUCCGUUCUUCUGUACUCUUGACAGUGGAUGUGAUGUUUGAGCGACUUUAAGUUCCUGUUGCUGUAGCUUCCCCAUGCUGAUAGACUGCAACCUGGGAUCAUAAGCUAAAAUGAACCUCUUCUCCCCUAAAUUGCUUUAGGUCAGGGUAUUUUAGCACAUCAGCAGAAUUGGAAACUCAGGCAGACCAUUUGGCAUUUGUUUUAGGACCUGGGUUAAGCAUGUUCUGAGAUACAGUUACAUCUUCACUCACUCACUUGGUUUUUCUGAGUCUUUACAUAAUUGUAGUUGGUGAAAAACUGUACAAACAAGCAGGAAAAGAGAAGUAACUCACACGUGAGCCCUUUGCUUCUUGAAGUCUCCAAGAAAAGAAACAUACAUGGAUCAAGAGGUGGGAUAUGAGGAAUCUACCACUGUUGUGGUAUUUACUGUUUGAAUGAAGUCAUUUAAUCAGCACCAGGAGAACUGCAGGCCUGAUACCACCAGCCCAUGAAAAAGCUUCACAAAACACCAUGGCUGAUCUCUGGGGCAGGGAUGCAAUUCUUCUCUUCAAGGGGAAUAAUAUGACCACACUCCCAUUAUUGCCUCUCAGUGGGCCAUAGGCGAAGCCCAUGAUCCAGUACAGUCAACCAGAGAGCCCUCAUCCCCACGUGGCACAUAGUUAAACUCCCAUGGGCCAGCUAUGGAAGCCGAGUUAGCCAGAAUAAGCGGGCACUCCACGACUCGGGUUAUAAAUGUUGGGGUGAAGAUGGGCUACUCUCUGAUGACAUGGGCGAUGACGCAGAGGGUGCGUGACCCAAGCUUCAGGUUACUGGAGCAACAGGACAAUGAUGAAGACAGACUCACGAGUCCCAGAGGAGCAAAGACUUAUGGAGAACAGGACUUCUCAUGAGGACUUCAGCUUCUGCAUGCUACCCCACCUGAAACCCCACAUCCGUCUCCGUGCGUGAGAGAGUAAAUGACAUGUGUUCUGCCACUUAUGCUUCAGUGAACCCCACCUGAUUAAUGCAAGAAAAGUUUGUGCAACAAUGAUAACAGAGUCGGGUAUUUUCAGCUGACACUUGGAUUUUUUUUUCAGCAUCCAAUAUUUAAUGCUCAUCACUAUUUGAACCAGAGCGUGGACUGUUAUCUUCAGUUUACAGAUAAGCACAAUGUAGCUUGGGGUUGUGACAUCCCACUGGCUGAGCUGAAAGCUGUUCACACCCCGAGCCACAUCUGACCUCCAUCUUUCCUCUAUUAAGCCUUACACACCCUCUAGGUUAAUAUUAAUAUCCUGAAAUUGUGGAUAAGGACAUUUAAGCACACAACUAGACCUUGCUAGUAGGUAACCAAGUGUUGUUGACAAAUAAAAGGGUGGCCCACUGUCUUCUCAAGCUUUUAAUCCA